This is a non-coding RNA of Podarcis lilfordi (Lilford's wall lizard), 72 nucleotides long. Lineage: Eukaryota; Metazoa; Chordata; Lepidosauria; Squamata; Lacertidae. The record is from the annotation of a GenBank genome assembly.
UGACAGCUCUGUUGGUAGAGCAUGAGACUCUUAACCUCAGGGCCAGGGGUUCGAGCCCCACAAUGGGCAAAA